GGUGGAGCGAAUCCUUUCAAAGCCGGUCUCAGUUCGGAUCGGGGUCUGCAACUCGACCCCGUGAAGUCGGAGUCGCUAGUAAUCGCAGAUCAGCAACGCUGCGGUGAAUACGUUCCCGGGCCUUGUACACACCGCCCGUCACGUCAUGAAAGUCGGUAACACCCGAAGCCGGUGGCCUAACCCCUUGUGGGAGGGAGCCGUCGAAGGUGGGAUCGGCGAUUGGGACGAAGUCGUAACAAGGUAGCCGUACCGGAAGGUGCGGCUGGAUCACCUCCUUUCUAAGGAG
Molecule: ribosomal RNA, 286 nt
Filed under: Mycobacterium sp. ITM-2017-0098
Lineage: Bacteria; Bacillati; Actinomycetota; Actinomycetes; Mycobacteriales; Mycobacteriaceae
Description: partial 16S ribosomal RNA
Rfam family: Bacterial small subunit ribosomal RNA
Source: RNAcentral